RNAcentral lists this long non-coding RNA (605 nucleotides) under Elaeis guineensis (African oil palm). RNAcentral's name for it is "long non-coding RNA (EGUI_LNC004430)". Lineage: Eukaryota; Viridiplantae; Streptophyta; Magnoliopsida; Arecales; Arecaceae. The record is from RNAcentral.
CAUGCAUAUAAGUGAGCGCUUGAUCAGAUUUACAUCUAUCUGAGUUUAGAACUUGAUACCUGAGCAUGGGUUGAUAAUCACUGCUAUUGAGAGAUAUGGUAAAGAUGAUCUUCGUUGGUUGCUCGCAGCCGCACAUAUAUCCGACCUCUACGAAAAGUUCACUUGAAGCUCCGAUCUGAUCGAUCUCCUCGGGAGUGCUAGCUCGUGUGAAGAUUAUCUUGUUGGCUGAUCUAGAUCCUUUCUUCAAAUCUCUCGAAUUUUUUCAAAGAUUGAAAAAGGACAUCUGGAGGAAAAGGAGAUGAUGAAGAAGUAUGGAGAAGAAAUAAUUUUCCUGCUUAUUUUUCUCUCUUCCAAACCCUAGGUCCAGACCCUAGGAUUUCUAGAUUUUGUGCUUACCCAAGAGGAGAGGACUCUCCUCUAAUUUUUUCAUGCCAAGGAACCAUGCCAAAAGCCUUCACCGUGAAGACCUCUUUCUCCUCUCUUUUACAUGCACAAAAGAUAGUAAAACCCCUUUUAUUUUGGCAUGUAAAGAGGUUAGGGUGAAGAGUCCAACAAUGUUUGGACUCUUCCAAAUGUUGUUGCCUCCUCUCAUAAUUCCACUAUCC